This 142-nucleotide non-coding RNA is filed under the name Streptomyces sp. Lineage: Bacteria; Bacillati; Actinomycetota; Actinomycetes; Kitasatosporales; Streptomycetaceae. The record is from RNAcentral.
ACGAAAGUUCUUUCGUACGGCCGGUAGAGUGAGCCCGUCGUCAUCACACCCGUACGAGGAGAAGCCGGUGCAAAUCCGGCGCUGACCCGCAACCGUGAGCCGCUUCGGCGGUGAGCCGGAUCGCCUCGCCCGGGAUGUGACC